Clupea harengus (Atlantic herring) is the source of this 1132-nucleotide long non-coding RNA. The record is from Ensembl. Lineage: Eukaryota; Metazoa; Chordata; Actinopteri; Clupeiformes; Clupeidae.
GUAGGAAGUGUGUCGGUGCGGGCAGAUGGUAAGUAGCGGAAAUGAUACAGCUGUCGGUGUAGGGCUUAACUAAAAUGAGAAAUGUUAUUUUACUUGCAUCGGCUAACGCUAGCUUUCUUCGGUAUGUUGCUCGAAGUAUUUAAUCCGAGUUUACACAGGGCCACUGUUUUGAAACCACACUGCCGAUAUCAAGUUAAGGCUGUUAGCGAAAAGCAGCACGUGCUUUAAACAAGCAUAUCUUGCAUUUAAACUAUACUGACACAGAAUUGGCUAGUUUUACUCCUUGACAGUAAUACAUAGGUCAGAUUGCAAAUUGACGUCAACUGGUUAAGUCUGUACUGGUCUCUUAUGAUGCAUUGCACUGGGCUCUGAAAUAUCUUUGGCGAUAACGUGCUGCUCUGCUACUGACAUGGCAGAGUCUGAGGAGACUACUGGUGUCUUCAUGUCCUGUGUGAAGUGUGUUAUUUUUUGGUCUAAUGGGUUCCUUAUAUUAUUUACAGCUUGCAGUGCCGCCACCGAAGGCGUCCAAGUUUCACAGGUUAGUUUCUUUGAUUUCCGAUAUCAGUACAACAAAACUAAUGUUAAACAGCCUUCAAUGAUGUCUUGCACUGGGCUCUGACUGUUAGUGGGGAAAACGUGCGACUCCGCUCUUGACAUGGCGGAUUCUGAGGCGGCUGUGAAUUGUAGACUACCUCUUGGUAUUCAUCAGCUAUGUGGGUUUGUUUCUCAAAGUUGUUGUAUUCUCUUUCAGAUGAAUGUUUGAGAUUCUCAACAGGAGGGCGGCAGUCAACAAGAUCGGUGAAUUUGUAUUCGUUUCAAAAUGGUGACCUGUUUAAAGAAACAAAAAAAAGAUGCUUUCUACACCUCCUGGCCAGACAUCUCAUUCAUUCCACAUUGCUUUCCUCCUUCCUCAACCUUGUGCGCUAGGCACAGACCACAGAAGUAACCCUACGCCCUUUACCAAUGAAGGUGGCCCAGUCAGAAUCUCUUUCCAUGCGGAUGGGUACAGCAAAACUUCACAGUGGGAUGGAGCAGGUAAUAGAGCCAGGCAUGGGCCGACGAGUCUCUGAGGCGUUUGGGUCUCCCUCACAGGAGGUGGCAGUGAGCGGUUGUGUCAAAGGACAAGGGGGGG